AUUGAACGCUGGCGGCAGGCCUAACACAUGCAAGUCGAGCGGAUGACGGGAGCUUGCUCCUUGAUUCAGCGGCGGACGGGUGAGUAAUGCCUAGGAAUCUGCCUGGUAGUGGGGGACAACGUUCCGAAAGGAGCGCUAAUACCGCAUACGUCCUACGGGAGAAAGUGGGGGAUCUUCGGACCUCACGCUAUCAGAUGAGCCUAGGUCGGAUUAGCUAGUUGGUGAGGUAAAGGCUCACCAGGGCGACGAUCCGUAACUGGUCUGAGAGGAUGAUCAGUCACACUGGAACUGAGACACGGUCCAGACUCCUACGGGAGGCAGCAGUGGGGAAUAUUGGACAAUGGGCGAAAGCCUGAUCCAGCCAUGCCGCGUGUGUGAAGAAGGUCUUCGGAUUGUAAAGCACUUUAAGUUGGGAGGAAGGGCAGUAAGUUAAUACCUUGCUGUUUUGACGUUACCGACAGAAUAAGCACCGGCUAACUCU
RNAcentral lists this ribosomal RNA (481 nucleotides) under uncultured Pseudomonas sp. RNAcentral describes it as "bacterial SSU rRNA". It matches the Rfam family "Bacterial small subunit ribosomal RNA", at positions 30 to 504 of the family's 1533-position model. Lineage: Bacteria; Pseudomonadati; Pseudomonadota; Gammaproteobacteria; Pseudomonadales; Pseudomonadaceae. The record is from RNAcentral.